Molecule: ribosomal RNA, 442 nt
Filed under: uncultured bacterium
Lineage: Bacteria
Description: partial 16S ribosomal RNA
Rfam family: Bacterial small subunit ribosomal RNA
Source: RNAcentral
CCUACGGGAGGCAGCAGUAGGGAAUCUUUCACAAUGGGCGAAAGCCUGAUGGAGCAACGCCGCGUGCAGGAUGAAGGCCUUCGGGUUGUAAACUGCUUUUAUAAGCGAGAAAUAUGAUGGUAACUUAUGAAUAAGGAUCGGCUAACUACGUGCCAGCAGCCGCGGUUAUACGUAGGAUCCGAGCAUUAUCCGGAGUGACUGGGUGUAAAGAGUUGCGUAGGUGGCAUAAUAAGUAGCUAGUGAAAUCUGGUGGCUCAACCAUUCAGACUAUUAGCUAAACUGUUAAGCUCGAGACCGUUAGGGGUAACUGGAAUUUCUAGUGUAGGAGUGAAAUGCGUAGAUAUUAGACAGAACACCGAUAGCGUAGGCAGGUUGCUGGGACGGUUCUGACACUAAGGCACGAAAGCGUAGGGAGCAAACGGGAUUAGAUACCCUUGUAGUC